CAGCCCCACGGGAAUACGGAGGGGGCUAGCGUUGUUCGGAAUUACUGGGCGUAAAGCGCACGUAGGCGGCUUUGUAAGUUAGAGGUGAAAGCCCGGAGCUCAACUCCGGAAUUGCCUUUAAGACUGCAGAGCUAGCAGGUGAGAGAGGUGAGUGGAAUUCCGAGUGUAGAGGUGAAAUUCGUAGAUAUUCGGAAGAACACCAGUGGCGAAGGCGGCUCACUGGACGACUGUUGACGCUGAGGUGCGAAAGCGUGGGGAGCAAACAGGAUUAGAUACCCCUGUAGUCCCUGUCUCUUAUACA
Molecule: ribosomal RNA, 301 nt
Filed under: uncultured bacterium
Lineage: Bacteria
Description: partial 16S ribosomal RNA
Rfam family: Bacterial small subunit ribosomal RNA
Source: RNAcentral